UACGUAGGGGGCGAGCGUUGUCCGGAAUCAUUGGGCGUAAAGAGCGUGUAGGCGGCUUGGCAAGUCUGACGUGAAAGCCCGCGGCUCAACCGCGGAUUGUCGUUGGAAACUGCCUCGCUAGAGUCCGGAAGAGGAGAGCGGAAUUCCUGGUGUAGCGGUGGAAUGCGCAGAUAUCAGGAAGAACACCGGUGGCGAAGGCGGGUCUCUGGGCCGAUACUGACGCUGAGGAGCGAAAGCGUGGGGAGCGAACAGG
This 253-nucleotide ribosomal RNA is filed under the name uncultured bacterium. Its description in RNAcentral is "partial 16S ribosomal RNA". It matches the Rfam family "Bacterial small subunit ribosomal RNA", at positions 524 to 776 of the family's 1533-position model. The record is from RNAcentral.